RNAcentral lists this ribosomal RNA (301 nucleotides) under uncultured bacterium. RNAcentral describes it as "partial 16S ribosomal RNA". It matches the Rfam family "Bacterial small subunit ribosomal RNA", at positions 509 to 807 of the family's 1533-position model. The record is from RNAcentral.
CAGUCGCCGCGGUAAAACGGAGGGUGCAAGCGUUAUCCGGAUUUAUUGGGUUUAAAGGGUCCGUAGGCGGACUUAUAAGUCAGUGGUGAAAGCCUGUCGCUUAACGAUAGAACUGCCAUUGAUACUGUAAGUCUUGAGUAUAUUUGAGGUAGCUGGAAUAAGUAGUGUAGCGGUGAAAUGCAUAGAUAUUACUUAGAACACCAAUUGCGAAGGCAGGUUACCAAGAUAUAACUGACGCUGAGGGACGAAAGCGUGGGUAGCGAACAGGAUUAGAUACCCGGGUAGUCCCUGUCUCUUAUAC